UACGGAGGGUGCGAGCGUUGUCCGGAAUCAUUGGGCGUAAAGGGCGCGUAGGUGGCCCGGUCAGUCUUUGGUGAAAGCGCGGGGCUCAACCCUGCGUCGGCCAGGGAUACUGCCGCGGCUCGAGCACUGUAGAGGCAGGCGGAAUUCCGGGUGUAGCGGUGGAAUGCGUAGAGAUCCGGAAGAACACCGGUGGCGAAGGCGGUUCUCUGGGACGGUACUGACGCUGAGACGCGAAAGCGUGGGGAGCGAACAGG
RNAcentral lists this ribosomal RNA (254 nucleotides) under uncultured bacterium. RNAcentral's name for it is "partial 16S ribosomal RNA". It matches the Rfam family "Bacterial small subunit ribosomal RNA", at positions 524 to 776 of the family's 1533-position model. The record is from RNAcentral.